This 253-nucleotide ribosomal RNA is filed under the name uncultured bacterium. RNAcentral describes it as "partial 16S ribosomal RNA". It matches the Rfam family "Bacterial small subunit ribosomal RNA", at positions 524 to 776 of the family's 1533-position model. The record is from RNAcentral.
UACGUAGGAUGCAAGCGUUGUUCGGAAUUACUGGGCGUAAAGAGUACGUAGGCGGUUUGAAAAGUCUGAUAUUAAAGACUGGGGCUUAACUCCAGGAGUGUAUCGGAAACUUUCAGACUAGAGGACAAUAGAGGAAGUCGGAAUUCUCAGUGUAGCGGUGAAAUGCGUAGAUAUUGGGAAGAACACCAGUGGCGAAAGCGGACUUCUGGGUUGUUACUGACGCUGAGGUACGAAAGCGUGGGGAGCAAACAGG